GGGGUGGCUAAUACCGGAUGCGACGAGCGUCUCCUCGGAGAUGCACGGGAAAGGAUCCGCAAGGGUCGCCCGAGGACGAGCCUGCGGCCCAUCAGCUUGUUGGUGAGGUAAUGGCUCACCAAGGCUAAGACGGGUAGCUGGUCUGAGAGGAUGAUCAGUCACACUGGAACUGAGACACGGUCCAGACUCCUACGGGAGGCAGCAGUGGGGAAUAUUGCGCAAUGGGCGAAAGCCUGACGCAGCCACGCCGCGUGAGCGAUGAAGGCCUUCGGGUCGUAAAGCUCUGUGGGGGGAGAAGAAAAAAGCCGGUGAAGAGCCGGACCUGACGGUAUCCCCUUAGCAAGCACCGGCUAACUCCGUG
Molecule: ribosomal RNA, 361 nt
Filed under: uncultured bacterium
Lineage: Bacteria
Description: bacterial SSU rRNA
Rfam family: Bacterial small subunit ribosomal RNA
Source: RNAcentral